Molecule: long non-coding RNA, 1143 nt
Organism: Folsomia candida
Lineage: Eukaryota; Metazoa; Arthropoda; Collembola; Entomobryomorpha; Isotomidae
Exons: 2
Source: RefSeq, a predicted model, not a curated record
GCGUGAUGAAUGAUGGGUGUGAUGCAAUGCAACUCAACAUUCUCGUGCAAAUAAACGAAUCUUGGUCACUUGAUUUUUACACUGGACGACAUGACAUAAUAUUUCAACAUUAAAAGGGUUCACCUUUUUUGACAAGCUCAAAAAUUUAGAUCACGAGGAGGGACAAGUGUGGAGAAUGUAAGUAUGUACCUAAAUUGGUACAUAACAUUUCACUUGUCCCCUGAUAAAUUCUCGACAACCCUACGUCUUAAAAAUAAUAAUUUAUAUAAACUGAUUUUUUCAUUGAGACCUGAGACAGAUUUCUUGAUGUAGAAUUGGCAGUACGACUUCUUAAAUGGGCUUAAGUGGAUGGAGGAUAUGAAUUGAUUAAUGAAAUUAUGUACCUACAUACGUAAUCAUUUGAUGAAUUCUAUAAUGGGAUUAUUUAGAAAAAUGUAAAGAGAGCAGUAAAUGUGUCAAGUGCGCAUCGAGGUUAAAUCGAUUUUAAAUCCUAACGAUUUCUGCUAAUUGCUUUUCAAAUCCUGGUUCAAUUCACACUUCUAAGAAUAACAAGGAUGGUCGAACAUUUGUUACGUAAUUAACCCGGCGGUUUAAGUAGAAACUAAUUACUCUCAACCAUUUAGUUUAAAUGACACCGUAAACUCAAGUAAUAUAAAAGAAAUGCACAUCAGAGGUGAAAUUCACUCUCAACUUAAUAGAAAUUCCGACGGAAAAGAACAUAUUAAUCUUUGGCCAUUUGAGCUGAGAAAAAUGUCGGCAACUCGUAACUUUAUGCUCGUGUGCAUCAUGUUGGCUCUCGUUCUUGUGAGCAUGAACGUUGUUGGUGCUUUUGAUUCUGGAGAACAUGGGGACUGCACCUUGCGUUGUGCGGACGGUCUCAUGGCUGACUUCCAUGCAUGUACAUGUGUCCCUGAACAUCACAUGCAUCACCACUGAAAUCCAUACAUAUUCGUCCAUAUCGUUUAUAUUUUUAACAAUGCAGAAAAACUAAUUUAAAUAAAUGAUCAUCCUGAAUACAUCAAUUCUGUUCAAGUACCUAUUUAUUUAUUACAGUCUCUAACCCAAAAUCAAGGGUAGGUCUAAAUUAAAAAGUAACAAUCAACCAUUCUUACACAUAAUAGUUAAAGUUGGAUCGAUGGAAAA